Molecule: unclassified non-coding RNA, 304 nt
Filed under: Hevea brasiliensis (rubber tree)
Lineage: Eukaryota; Viridiplantae; Streptophyta; Magnoliopsida; Malpighiales; Euphorbiaceae
Source: RNAcentral
UCGCUUGCUGUGCCUGUUGCAAGACAAGAUGUAUCCGCAUCCUGAAUACUUGUUUCCUCCAAGUAAUCAUGAGCCUUGAAUUCACUGAUCUCUCUAAAUGAUUCAUCUCUCCUUAUGACACCUUGAUCCUGGUUUCCCGGUGCUUCUUGGGAAGAGUUAUCCAUCCGAGGAACAGUCACAGUUGGUUGAACAACUUGUUCCUGGUCUACAGGGUUCUGUCCAUAUGGCUGAGGGUUCUCAUCAGUAGCAACAAACUCAGGCUCCAUGAGCAUCCUUGCCUGGCCAAAAUCAGCCAACUUGAGAA